Molecule: long non-coding RNA, 7375 nt
Filed under: Gossypium barbadense (sea-island cotton)
Lineage: Eukaryota; Viridiplantae; Streptophyta; Magnoliopsida; Malvales; Malvaceae
Description: long non-coding RNA (GBAR_LNC010344)
Source: RNAcentral
AUACCAUCUUAUUGCCACUGCGUAAAUAUUUAUAAAAAUAUUUACGACUCGGUUUAUAGAAACAAGGUCCCGAUACGUCAUUUUCUAAACCCACUUGACCUUAGAGUCAUACCACUUGAACUUAAUAAAUCGCUUAUAAAACAAAAAUCACAAUAUCAAAAACAUUUUUAAAAUCACAAUUAACUCGUAAAUAUUAAAUAUAAUAUUUACCAACCUACUCGAUCGGAUUUGGUGGCCCCGAAACCACUGUUCCGAUCAACCCUAAAAAUAGGCUAUUACAACUCUCCCCCCUUAGGGAUUUUCGUCCCCGAAAAUCUUGCCAGAGAAUAAAUUAGUGAUUUUCUUUCACCAACCUCAACAAUUUCUCACCUAGCCUCAGAUUUCUCAACUUUUCAAUCUCAUAAGCUAAGAUUAUGAUCUGCUCUUUGCUAUACAUCAUAACAAGGUGAGUUUCUACUUCUGUAAGAGAUACUAUAGAUAAAGGAUCUUAUUUGUAUCAUCACAUCAUAUAUAUAAAAAGCACAUUAUGGGUCUUCUCAAGUUUUGAUAAUAAUAUCAUUCAAUCCGAUGAACUGCGAACUCAACUUCUCUUUAUAGCUAAAUCUAGAAAUUCUAUUCCCACUAUAAUACCUUUACAAAUACUCAAUUUUCUAAUUGAAAAUUCAAUGCUUUUACGCAUCAAGCCCGCAUAUAUUUUCUACAAAUCUGAAACUGUUUUUAGACGGUCAUGAAUUACUUUCAUUUCCCCUCAGUCUUUCCAAUCACAUCGACCCCGAAAUUCUUUUUAUAAAAAUUCAAUUCAAUACAACGAAGUUCAGUAAUUGCAACCAUACCACACUCAUACAAUGCUAUCUUAACAUUCAUCUCAUAACUAUUAUUAUUAUAUGCAAACUUAACAAACAAUAAAUGUCUUUCUCGGUUGCUUUCAAGUUCUAGAACACAGUGUUACAAAGUAAUUCCAUACCCAAAGCUCAUAGUAGUUUAUUUUAGUAACACGAUAUAAUCCUCGUGUCUCCAUUUGAACAAUGAAAACUAGCACUCUUUUCGUACUCCUCGUAUGGACAGAUAAUUACCACUGUGCUAGAUGUCACAAUUGUUGUAAAAUCUCUGGAUUUCUCAAUACACGAACUCUAUCUCGACAUAACGAACAAUUGUCGAUUCCAAUCUGAAAUUCUAAAUUAGAAAUCAAUUUACGUUGUACCCUUUUUAACUUGUAAUUCACUGACACACCUCUUAACCUCACAAAUUUGCUAAUUAAACAUCAAUUUAGUUUCUAGCUCAGCCAAUAACUACUCAUCAUUUGAUAAGAUUAAUCACAUGAUUAUCGGCCGUAAAACACAUAAAGAUUCUCGUUCAGAACCCCAAAGACUAUAAUCAUUUGCCCAGAUUGAAAAUCAAUCGCUGACUCAUAAUCUUUCAACAGUUUAAACCAUCUUUAAUUCUUGUGUCGAAUAACUCUUUACCUGAGAACUGACACUUCAAUUAACAAUUUAUUCAACUGUUUACCACUUUAUUGAUAAUUAUCACAUCAUUCAGACUUCCCAAUCGCGAUCUAUAAGAACAUUUCUCAAUAAAAUCGUUCUGAUGGAUAUAAUUCUGUAUCAUAUCUUCUAGAAUAUGAAUCCUGCAUUCAGAAUAUUCAUCUAUUUAUCCGUGAACAUUCAAACUUUAUUUCCACCCUGUGGAUAGAUUCAGAUACAAGUAACUUGAUUAAUCCUUCAAGCAAUUAAUCUAAUCAAACUAGACAACUGAAUCGAUCUCGACUGUCAAGUAAUAACUUUUCAAUUAUUAAUCAACGAAGAUUUGAACCAUACUGAAGCCACAACCAUCAGAUAAUUUAAAAUCAUAGUGCCAUAAUAAGGCUGACAUCUCAACCGUAUAGAUAUAUAAUGUCCCAAUUAUCAAUAAUGCAUUUUGAACAUAAGAGAAAUUGAAAUAUAGUUACAGUCAUUCAAUAGAUAUUUUUCACAGAUAACCAUAUAGAAUCAUAAGAAAGCAGAGAUACUGUAAUUCUCGAAUAUAUAACUAUACUAAUCUUUUUUUUAAGAAAGCACCCAUAUCAGAUGACAGAUAUCUCAAUGAUGUCUCAGAGGAAAUCCAGAAGUAAAGCAUCACUCAUAUGCACUGGAAUCAACAGUAACAGAAACAAUAUAAUCUUAAUGUAUACUAAGCAGAUCAACAACCAGUAGGAGCAGAAUACCAACAUCACACAGAUUUAAUCGUCGAUCUUUUCUUUUAAUAAAAUGAAAUAGAAUACGAGAGAAAGAUAUAAUAAUGCUGAUUUGUAACCCUAAAGCCCAACAAUGCUUUCAUAUAUCAAUAUAUAUAGAUAAUGUUCUCAUAUGAUAAGAAUUUCAUCUGAAAAUAUACAGCUUCACAUACCUCUGAGGAUAAUUGAACACAUAGAGUACCCAGAAGAGUUCUCGUAAACCAUUCGACUAUAAUCGCUGUGCUUAAAUAUCUUUAUAAUUCAAAUAUGAUUCUACUGUCUAUCUCUGACAUCACUAAUUUCUCAUUAUCCCAACACUAACGGAGGCCAAUUCAGAAGAACUUCCAGUUAAUAUAUUCUUUAGAUAUCAUACUUGAAUAUUUGGUUUCAUCUAAUUCAACUUUUCUUUUAACAGUGACUUUGCAUAUUACAAAUGGCCUUCAACACGAUCCAAUAUCUUUUCUGUUACUGUCUUCACUUGCAGACUCAUUCUCUUAUCUGAUCACAAUACUAAUCCUUCAAUCCCGAGACUCUGUUAUUCCGCACUUGUAAGCUUAUUUAAGUCAUAUAGUACGGAUCUCAUUAUAAUUCUUUACCAAUGAGGGGGUGAGGGCUGUAAAGCCAACAAUUUUAACUCUUACGUAAGCAUGCACAUCACACAUACUAUUAUGAACGAACAGUUCAUUACUAAUUCCGCAUUCUCAAACAUCUAGCAAUCAUUUACUUAUGAUCACUUGGUACUUAACACAUAGCUCAUACGCUAAAUCAAAUCAUAAAUUCCAAAUCAAAAUAUUCACACAACAAUCAUAUACCCAACAUCACAACUCAUAUACUCAUAUAAUUAUAACAUUUAUCAAUAGCAGAAUAUCAUGCAUUCUGAUUCAUACCUUUUUAUGAGUUUUCAACUUAUCACCAACACAUUUUCACUCAAACGUUUGAGUAUAACAUUCUGUACUAUCAGAAUUAGCUCGGUUAGAAAGCAUAUCUGUCUUAUGAAAAACACACAGAAUAAGCUUUGAAAGCUUAGUAAGCCUUAAGCAAAUAAAUCAUUUCACUGAUUAUGAAAAUUCCAUAUCACAAAUCUGAAUUGAAAAAUAAUCUCAAUUGCAUAUACAUUCAUAGUACUUUUAAGUUCAUAUAACCUUAUUAAAUAGCUUCGCUUAUUUAUAUUUACAAAUAACUUAUGACUAUGAUUUUAAAUUCGUGUGAUAACUGUCAAUUCAUUCGUAUGAACAAAACUUGCACAUAUCCAAUACAUACCAACCAAAACAUGUCAUAUUUUUCCAUGUUUGAUUCAUGGAACCACAAGGUCACAUGUCAAGCACAUACAGCAUAUAUUUAUCUGUUAUUUAUCACGUCUCAUUUUUACAUGGACUACAUAUAUCUGACCAAGUUUAUUCAAUAUCGAUGCCAUUAUCCCGGACAAGGUCUUACACGAAUCAUAAGUGAUGCCGGUGUCCCAGACACGUUCUUAUACACUACUUCAAAUCAAUGCCUUCGUCUCGAACGAGGUCUUACAUGAUCUCAUUUCACACACUUAGUGCCCCAACAACCGAUCUUGCACACACAGUGCUCGGUUACAGAACUCGCACACACAGUGCCUCAACAACCGAUCUCGCAUACACAGUGCUUGGUUACGGAACUCGCACACACAGUGCCUCAAAAACCGAUCUCGCACACACAAUGCUCGAUUACGAAACUCGCACACACAAUGCCUCAACAACCAUCUCGCACACACAGUGCUCAGUUACGAAACUCACACAUACAGUGCCUAUGUUCACUUGUUGUUGCACAUUGAAGUGACUUAACCAAGUCUAUAAAACAUCACAUAUGUGCACUUUGAACAUAUCAUUUCAUUUAAUUUUGGAUUCAUAUAUUCAUGAACACUUAAACAUUUCAGAGCCAACUUUAAUUUAAUCAAAUCAAUAUAGAACACAAUUUCAUUCAAACAUCUGAGUACAUAUUCUAUACUAUUAAAAUUAGCUUGAUUGAAAGACUUAUCUGUCCUAUUCAAAUAAUUUUCGUCAGAGUCAGGAGAUAUCACACUAUCGCAGGUCAAAUAUGGCAUGUACAGCUAGACUCACAUACGCCAUGGUAGUCCUAGAACCGACUAAAACAUGGCUCUGAUACCAAUAAAAUGUAACACCCUUCGCCCGUAUCCCUCGCCAGAACAGGGUUCGAGGUGCUACCAGAUUUAAACUCAUCCAUUUAUAUAAAAAUAGACCGUAAAAUUUUUUGAUCAAUUUUAAACUUUUCAUACACACGUAUAUUAUCCUUUAAUCGGGCUUACAAGGCCCAAAAUAUUCAUGAAGCAUUAUUAAAUAUUUACCAAUAUCUUAGUCUUGUAUCAUUUACUUACUCAACUUUACAACCCUAUACAUGCCAUAGACUCAAAGCACUAAGAUUUACUUACGCCGAUAGCGUAGACUUGACAAUGUGAUAAUAUCUUUGACGGCCUCCAACCCGAGCUAACCUGGCAACCUUAGGGAAUAUGGGAAAGAAAAGGGGAGUAAGCUUUAUGCUUAGUAAGUUCAUAAGAAAACAAUAAGCAACUCAUUAACAAGUUUUAUCAAUGUUUACAACAUAAUCACAAAUUCACUACAAGUUAUCUUCCUGAGAAAUAGUCACUAAAUUAUUUAUAACUGGAGCUACAAAACUCCAAAUCAAUUACCGUUAAUUUUAUCUGAAAAUAGACUCAUAUAUCUUCCAUCCAUAAAAUUUUCAAAAUUUUUGGUUUGGCCAAUCGAUACCAUAUUUUUCUUAAAGUUUUUCCUGUUUCACUAUUUGACUAAUCUAACCACUCUUAACUACGAAUCAAAUUUCUCAUUGUACAGAAUUCAAAAUAUGUUAUCUUUGAUUUCAUUUUAAACUAGACUCAUCAAGGAGUCUAAGCAUAUAAAUUUUAUCUUAUAACCAUUUUUGUACAAAUUAUAAUGAUUUUCUAAAAAUACAACAGGGGACCCUGAAGUCAUUUGACUCUAUCCCACGCCACUUCAAAUAUCUCAUUAUCAGCAAUUCUUUUGCUUACACGGUUUCUUUUAUAAGAAACUAGACUCAUUAAGAUUUAAUUACAUAAUUUAUUAAGCUUCUAACUCAACUCCAACAAUUUAUGGUGAUUUUCCAAAAUCACGUUACUGCUGCUGUCCCAAGCAGAUUUAUUACAAAUUUACUCUUUCACACAUUCUUUGCAUUCACAUUAUUUAAACAUGUAUAUCACCAAUCAAUUUCAUCACAUAUCUAUAAUUUCACUUAAGUAUAAUCUCAAUACAAUACAUCAUGCUCAAUGAUUCGCACACAACUGUUCAAAUUAGCAAUUAUAAGAUGAUUCCGCACAUAGUCCACCCUUAUCGAUAAUUUACGAUGGUUUUGCCCUUACUCACAUAUAUGACAUAGGCAUUUUCACCUAUGCAUCUCAUUUCACAUUCAUGAUUCAAUUCCAAUCGAUCUAACAUGCAUAAGUAUAUAUCACAUACCUGGCCAACUUAAUGCAUUGAACAAAUUCAAUUGCCGAUUUAACACAAGGUCUCAUAAACAAUUCAUAUAAUAUAGCAUGUAUACUUGUUCACUUUGCUCUAUUUAAUCAUUCCAUCACAAUUUAUAAUUUCCCUUUGAAUCAUUCGAUAUUUUGCACACUAAGUGUCAUUCUCAAUAUCUCGCACACUAAGUGCCAUUCUCAAUAUUUCGUACACUGAGUACCAUAUUUGAUUGCCCCACACACUAAGUGCCACAUUUUGUCGAUAUGUUGUCAGACAUUAAAAUAUUCAUGUAUAUACAAUUUAUACGAUAUUAAAGCAUUAGAAACAUAAAUUUAGCAAUGCUUAUAGCAUACGAACUUACCUGGCUAAAUUGUAGAGAUACCAAAGUUCAAGGGCAUUUUGGUAAUUUUCUCAUUUUUCUCGAUUUCCACCCGAUCUUGAUCUAAAUUAAUAAUUUCAUUCAAUAUAUUAAUUUAGACAUUAAAACACCUCAUUUCAUACAAUGUGGUCAUUUUUGUCAUUUUUACAAAAUUACCCUUAAAGUUUUACUUUUAUUCAUUUUAGUCCCUGAGCUCAAAACAUGCAAAUUAACCAUUUUUAACCAUAAUUAAGCUUAGCCAAAUGUUCAUGGUAUCAAAACAGUCCAUAAUUCACUUUAUGGAAAAAUUAUAGUUUUGCCCCUAAUAUUUCAACUUCUUUACAAUUUAGUUCCUCUAUCAUAAAAAUGCAAAUUCAUGAAAUUGAGUAAAAUUCUACUAUAGACGAAUAUCACUAGUGUCUCUAGCAGCCCACACAUUUCAUUUAUUUGACAUUUUAACCAAAAAGUUUUCACAUUUAUCAAUUUAGCCCUUAAUUGUCAAUUUCACAAAAUUCACUUAACAAAAAGUGUUUAACUAUCAACAAGGACUCAUAUUCUUCCAUCAAACAUCAAAGCCCUAUUAUACUCAUUAAUGGAAAAUAUCAAACUAUUCAAUGGUUUUGCAAAAUAGUCCCCUCAUUAGAUAGAUUAAGCAACAACGAUCUCGAAAAUAUAAAAAUAAUUAAAAACGGGACUAGAAAUGCCUACCAUGCAUUAGCUGAAAGUUGGAAGCUUCUUUCAUGGCUUCUCAAGCCUUGAUAUUCGGCUGGUAAAAAGAGAAUGAAAAAGAUGACACCUUGAUUCUUUUAUUAUAUUCAUUUUAUUAUUAUUUUUAACCAAUUUACAAUAUUAACCUUUAUACACUUUAUUUAUUACACCAAAUGCCAAGCCAUCAUAUCCCAGUAUCUCUUUAAUGGGCUAAUUACCAAAUAAAGACUUCUACUUUUAAGUUCUAUAUCUAUUUAAUACCUUUAGGUUAUAGAACACAACUUUUGUACUUUACACAAUUUAGUCCUUUUUGCUUAAUUAACUAUCGAAAUGAUAAAAUUUUUCAACGAAACUUUAAUACCAUCUUAUUGCCACUACGUAAAUAUUUAUAAAAAUAUUUAUAACUCGGUUUAUAGAAACAAGGUCCCGAUACGUCAUUUUCUAAACCCACUUGACCUUAGAGUCAUACCACUUGAACUUAAUAAAUCGCUUAUAAAAGAAAAAUCACAAUAUCAAAAACAUUGUUAAAAUCACAAUUAACUUGUAAAUAUUAAAUAUAAUAUUUACCAACCUACUCGUUCGAAUUUGGUGGCCCCGAAACCACUGUUCCGAUCAACCCUAAAA